GCAUUGACUCAGCCAGUAGAGCAUGAGACUCUGGAUCUCAGGGUUGUGGGUUCGUGCCCCACAUUGGACA
Molecule: transfer RNA, 70 nt
Filed under: Podarcis lilfordi (Lilford's wall lizard)
Lineage: Eukaryota; Metazoa; Chordata; Lepidosauria; Squamata; Lacertidae
Description: tRNA.Gln
Rfam family: tRNA (bases 3-64)
About the family: Transfer RNA (tRNA) molecules are approximately 80 nucleotides in length. Their secondary structure includes four short double-helical elements and three loops (D, anti-codon, and T loops).
Source: RNAcentral